This 2238-nucleotide ribosomal RNA is filed under the name Salmonella enterica subsp. enterica serovar Newport. Its description in RNAcentral is "partial 23S ribosomal RNA". It matches the Rfam family "Bacterial large subunit ribosomal RNA", at positions 711 to 2925 of the family's 2925-position model. The record is from RNAcentral. Lineage: Bacteria; Pseudomonadati; Pseudomonadota; Gammaproteobacteria; Enterobacterales; Enterobacteriaceae.
AGACCCGAAACCCGGUGAUCUAGCCAUGGGCAGGUUGAAGGUUGGGUAACACUAACUGGAGGACCGAACCGACUAAUGUUGAAAAAUUAGCGGAUGACCUGUGGCUGGGGGUGAAAGGCCAAUCAAACCGGGAGAUAGCUGGUUCUCCCCGAAAGCUAUUUAGGUAGCGCCUCGUGAAUUCAUCUCCGGGGGUAGAGCACUGUUUCGGCUAGGGGGCCAUCCCGGCUUACCAACCCGAUGCAAACUGCGAAUACCGGAGAAUGUUAUCACGGGAGACACACGGCGGGUGCUAACGUCCGUCGUGAAGAGGGAAACAACCCAGACCGCCAGCUAAGGUCCCAAAGUCAUGGUUAAGUGGGAAACGAUGUGGGAAGGCCCAGACAGCCAGGAUGUUGGCUUAGAAGCAGCCAUCAUUUAAAGAAAGCGUAAUAGCUCACUGGUCGAGUCGGCCUGCGCGGAAGAUGUAACGGGGCUAAACCAUGCACCGAAGCUGCGGCAGCGACACUGUGUGUUGUUGGGUAGGGGAGCGUUCUGUAAGCCUGCGAAGGUGGCCUGUGAGGGUUGCUGGAGGUAUCAGAAGUGCGAAUGCUGACAUAAGUAACGAUAAAGCGGGUGAAAAGCCCGCUCGCCGGAAGACCAAGGGUUCCUGUCCAACGUUAAUCGGGGCAGGGUGAGUCGACCCCUAAGGCGAGGCCGAAAGGCGUAGUCGAUGGGAAACGGGUUAAUAUUCCCGUACUUGGUGUUACUGCGAAGGGGGGACGGAGAAGGCUAUGUUGGCCGGGCGACGGUUGUCCCGGUUUAAGCGUGUAGGUGUGUGUUCCAGGUAAAUCCGGUUCACUUUAACACUGAGGCGUGAUGACGAGGCACUACGGUGCUGAAGCAACAAAUGCCCUGCUUCCAGGAAAAGCCUCUAAGCAUCAGGUAACAUCAAAUCGUACCCCAAACCGACACAGGUGGUCAGGUAGAGAAUACCAAGGCGCUUGAGAGAACUCGGGUGAAGGAACUAGGCAAAAUGGUGCCGUAACUUCGGGAGAAGGCACGCUGACACGUAGGUGAAGUGAUUUACUCAUGGAGCUGAAGUCAGUCGAAGAUACCAGCUGGCUGCAACUGUUUAUUAAAAACACAGCACUGUGCAAACACGAAAGUGGACGUAUACGGUGUGACGCCUGCCCGGUGCCGGAAGGUUAAUUGAUGGGGUCAGCGCAAGCGAAGCUCCUGAUCGAAGCCCCGGUAAACGGCGGCCGUAACUAUAACGGUCCUAAGGUAGCGAAAUUCCUUGUCGGGUAAGUUCCGACCUGCACGAAUGGCGUAAUGAUGGCCAGGCUGUCUCCACCCGAGACUCAGUGAAAUUGAACUCGCUGUGAAGAUGCAGUGUACCCGCGGCAAGACGGAAAGACCCCGUGAACCUUUACUAUAGCUUGACACUGAACAUUGAGCCUUGAUGUGUAGGAUAGGUGGGAGGCUUUGAAGUGUGGACGCCAGUCUGCAUGGAGCCGACCUUGAAAUACCACCCUUUAAUGUUUGAUGUUCUAACGUGGACCCGUAAUCCGGGUUGCGGACAGUGUCUGGUGGGUAGUUUGACUGGGGCGGUCUCCUCCUAAAGAGUAACGGAGGAGCACGAAGGUUGGCUAAUCCUGGUCGGACAUCAGGAGGUUAGUGCAAUGGCAUAAGCCAGCUUGACUGCGAGCGUGACGGCGCGAGCAGGUGCGAAAGCAGGUCAUAGUGAUCCGGUGGUUCUGAAUGGAAGGGCCAUCGCUCAACGGAUAAAAGGUACUCCGGGGAUAACAGGCUGAUACCGCCCAAGAGUUCAUAUCGACGGCGGUGUUUGGCACCUCGAUGUCGGCUCAUCACAUCCUGGGGCUGAAGUAGGUCCCAAGGGUAUGGCUGUUCGCCAUUUAAAGUGGUACGCGAGCUGGGUUUAGAACGUCGUGAGACAGUUCGGUCCCUAUCUGCCGUGGGCGCUGGAGAACUGAGGGGGGCUGCUCCUAGUACGAGAGGACCGGAGUGGACGCAUCACUGGUGUUCGGGUUGUCAUGCCAAUGGCACUGCCCGGUAGCUAAAUGCGGAAGAGAUAAGUGCUGAAAGCAUCUAAGCACGAAACUUGCCCCGAGAUGAGUUCUCCCUGAGACUUAGAGUCUCCUGAAGGAACGUUGAAGACGACGACGUUGAUAGGCCGGGUGUGUAAGCGCAGCGAUGCGUUGAGCUAACCGGUACUAAUGAACCGUGAGGCUUAACCUU